RNAcentral lists this ribosomal RNA (454 nucleotides) under uncultured bacterium. RNAcentral describes it as "bacterial SSU rRNA". It matches the Rfam family "Bacterial small subunit ribosomal RNA", at positions 29 to 521 of the family's 1533-position model. The record is from RNAcentral.
AACGAACGCUGGCGGCAGGCCUAACACAUGCAAGUCGAGCGCCCCGCAAGGGGAGCGGCGCACGGGUGAGUAACGCGUGGGAACAUGCCCAGAGGUCGGGAAUAACGGCGGGAAACUGCCGCUAAUACCCGGUAAGCCUUGAGAGGGAAAGGAGCAAUCCGCCUUUGGAGUGGCCCGCGUUGGAUUAGCUAGUUGGUGGGGUAAAAGCCUACCAAGGCUACGAUCCAUAGCUGGUCUGAGAGGAUGAUCAGCCACACUGGGACUGAGGCACGGCCCAGACUCCUACGGGAGGCAGCAGUGGGGAAUAUUGGACAAUGGGGGAAACCCUGAUCCAGCCAUGCCGCGUGAGUGAAGAAGGCCCUAAGGGUUGUAAAGCUCUUUCAGCUCCGACGAAGCCGAGAGUGACGGUAGGAGCAGAAGAAGCACCGGCCAACUACGUGCCAGCCGCCGCCGU